CCGUGCUAGGUGGGGAGCUAGCGGUGCCCUGUAACUCACAAUCCGCUCUAGUGGGACCGAUCAACAGGUUUGAGGCCUAAGGCAGUAAGGUUUAGCGCCUUUAUAAGUGGUGUUGAAAGUCGGGUCUUGUGCGGCGGAGGGUUACAAACCCCGUCAGGUCCGAGAGGAAGCAGCGGUAAGUAACAUUCUCCGGGUGCCACAAGGAAACCUGGCUGGAGCUAACUGUAAUGGUAACACUUGUUGCCUUAUGUCGAUCCUGGGGCACGG
This 267-nucleotide signal recognition particle RNA is filed under the name Actinomycetota bacterium. RNAcentral's name for it is "Actinobacteria bacterium signal recognition particle sRNA large type". It matches the Rfam family "Bacterial large signal recognition particle RNA". From Rfam's summary of the family: The signal recognition particle (SRP) is a universally conserved ribonucleoprotein involved in the co-translational targeting of proteins to membranes. The record is from RNAcentral. Lineage: Bacteria; Bacillati; Actinomycetota.